RNAcentral lists this ribosomal RNA (305 nucleotides) under uncultured bacterium. Its description in RNAcentral is "bacterial SSU rRNA". It matches the Rfam family "Bacterial small subunit ribosomal RNA", at positions 337 to 634 of the family's 1533-position model. The record is from RNAcentral.
GCCUACGGGGCGCAGCAGUAGGGAAUCUUCCACAAUGGGCGAAAGCCUGAUGGAGCAACGCCGCGUGGGUGAAGAAGGUCUUCGGAUCGUAAAACCCUGUUGUUAGAGAAGAAAGUGCGUGAGAGUAACUGUUCACGUUUCGACGGUAUCUAACCAGAAAGCCACGGCUAACUACGUGCCAGCAGCCGCGGUAAUACGUAGGUGGCAAGCGUUAUCCGGAUUUAUUGGGCGUAAAGAGAACGCAGGCGGUCUUUUAAGUCUGAUGUGAAAGCCUUCGGCUUAACCGGAGUAGUGCAUCGGAAACU